Molecule: ribosomal RNA, 492 nt
Filed under: uncultured bacterium
Lineage: Bacteria
Description: partial 16S ribosomal RNA
Rfam family: Bacterial small subunit ribosomal RNA
Source: RNAcentral
GAUGAACGCUAGCUACAGGCUUAACACAUGCAAGUCGAGGGGAAACGGCAUCGAAAGCUUGCUUUUGAUGGGCGUCGACCGGCGCACGGGUGAGUAACGCGUAUCCAACCUGCCCAUCACUUGGGAAUAACCUUGCGAAAGUAAGACUAAUGCCCAAUGACAUCCCACGAAGGCAUCCGAAUGGGAUUAAAGAUUUAUCGGUGAUGGAUGGGGAUGCGUCUGAUUAGCUUGUUGGCGGGGUGACGGCCCACCAAGGCAACGAUCAGUAGGGGUUCUGAGAGGAAGGUCCCCCACAUUGGAACUGAGACACGGACCAAACUCCUACGGGAGGCAGCAGUGAGGAAUAUUGGUCAAUGGGGGAGAGCCUGAACCAGCCAAGUAGCGUGCAGGAUGACGGCCCUAUGGGUUGUAAACUGCUUUUAUAAGGGAAUAAAGUGGGUCACGUGUGACUUUUUGCAUGUACCUUAUGAAUAAGGACCGGCUAAUUCCGUG